UCCCAAGGGGUCGUCAGGGACCAUGAAGAUGUUCCCCACGAAGAUGUAUUGCAGCAGGCUGAAGAACACACAAGUGGCAAGGUCAUUAUUCUAGACCGUGCAAGAGCAUUCCAGCGCAACUCCCUGCUACACGCAACCAUUUUGGCAGCGACCGAGCCAAAGGCAGCCUGCGUUACAGUGAUAACAGGAUGUGAGUGUCUCCCAGCUGUAUCUCGGUGUCUGUGCCCAAGGAUAGCCUUCUCAAAAGAAGGGAAAGAGCAAGCAAGCAGAUAUUCUGGCGCAGAGUUUAUAUUCUUUUCGGUGCCCGUCCAUGACUCACAUCAGCUGAGCAAGCGGCAAAGGAAGAGGUGGAAGUUGGGGGAGAGGAAGGCGCCCGCCUGCGUGGACAUGGGGAAACAUCCGUCACGUGUGCCAACGGUCCACAGAGAACAGUGCUGACCUGUCAUCGUAGGGCACGAUGCCCUUCCCGUCGAUUUUGCGCGAUGGCGUCACUGAGAGGAUGCUCAGGUACCAAGACGGUCACUUCCCGGUGACCACGAUCCCAGAAAUACUGCACAGCCAGAGCGAUGCCCCGGCAUGAGAAAAACUGGUUCAGCCCAUGCCUGCAAAGACAGCAGGAGGUAGUCCGAGGUUCAAGGCACAGCUUAAAUCUAAGAGAGCUGCACUGGAUCAGACCCAGGAUCCAGCUCAUCCAGCAUCCUGAUCACCCAGUGACUGGCACACAACCCUGCAAGAGGACAGGAUUACAACCGCACCCUCCCACCCAUGUUCCCCAGCAUGGAAUCUUGGGGGAAUCCCUUGGGUCACCCGAGUAACAGUAGCACAGGUAAACAGGAAACCCAGCAGAAAAAUUCUCAAUAAAGAAGUCAAAGGAG
This is a long non-coding RNA of Varanus komodoensis (Komodo dragon), 875 nucleotides long. RefSeq lists it as uncharacterized. Lineage: Eukaryota; Metazoa; Chordata; Lepidosauria; Squamata; Varanidae. The record is from RefSeq and is a predicted model, not a curated record. The transcript is spliced from 3 exons.